RNAcentral lists this long non-coding RNA (213 nucleotides) under Carica papaya (papaya). Its description in RNAcentral is "long non-coding RNA (CPAP_LNC016371)". The record is from RNAcentral. Lineage: Eukaryota; Viridiplantae; Streptophyta; Magnoliopsida; Brassicales; Caricaceae.
CAAAUGUGACGAGGGUAGACUUGGUUAAGAGUUAUAAAAAAAUUGAUCUUCUAAAUAUAAAAAUUACGAAAUUAAAAGAUAUUAACAGAAAAUAUUCAAAACUAUUUUCAUCUAUCUCAAUUUCCUUCAUUCACCUUUCCUUUGAAGCUUCAUUAUUCUAAUAGCACUAACCAUCUUCAUCUACAAUUUUGAAUUCCCAUAAAACUCAUCUCU